UACGUAGGGUGCAAGCGUUGUCCGGAAUUAUUGGGCGUAAAGAGCUCGUAGGCGGUCUGUCACGUCGGACGUGAAAAUCCAGGGCUCAACCCUGGACCUGCGUUCGAUACGGGCAGACUAGAGUGCGGUAGGGGAGACUGGAAUUCCUGGUGUAGCGGUGAAAUGCGCAGAUAUCAGGAGGAACACCGGUGGCGAAGGCGGGUCUCUGGGCCGUAACUGACGCUGGAGGAGCGAAAGCAUGGGGAGCGAACAGG
Molecule: ribosomal RNA, 254 nt
Filed under: uncultured bacterium
Lineage: Bacteria
Description: partial 16S ribosomal RNA
Rfam family: Bacterial small subunit ribosomal RNA
Source: RNAcentral